GUACACGCUUGACUAGCAUAUCAAUAAGCGGAGGAAAAGAAACUAACAAGGAUUCCCCUAGUAACGGCGAGUGAAGCGGGAAGAGCUCAAAUUUGAAAUCUUAAAGGGUUUCCCUUUACGAAUUGUAGUUUAAAGAAGUGUUUUCUGUUGAGGUUUUGGUAAAAGUUCUUUGGAAUAGGACAUCAUAGAGGGUGAGAAUCCCGUAUUUGACCUUUACUUUCAACUUUGUGAUACACUUUCAAAGAGUCGGAUUGUUUGGGAAUGCAGUCCAAAAUGGGUGGUAAAUUUCAUCUAAAGCUAAAUAUUGGCGAGAGACCGAUAGCGAACAAGUACCGUGAGGGAAAGAUGAAAAGAACUUUGAAAAGAGAGUUAAACAGUACGUGAAAUUGUCAAAAGGGAAGCGUUUGACACCAGUGUUGUUUUUCUGAAAAUCAAUUAAAGAACUGUUUAUGCUAAGCUUGUUUAGACUUUAUCAGCUAUCUGUUUAGUUUUGAGCUUUUCUUUAAUGCACUUUUCAGUUAACAAGUCAACAUCAAUUUCUUUUGCUGUAAAAAAGCUUGAGGAAGGUGGCUUGAGAUUCGUCUUAAGUGUUUAUAGCCUCUUGCCUAUGCAGUCGGAGAGAUUGAGGUCUGCAGCGUAGAUCCUUCGGGGCUAAAUGCAUUUGUGCUAAGUUAUAGCAUUUCAUAGACAACUUGUUGACUAUGAUUUGUCUUGUAGCUUACUCGCUUAUGUUAUUUUACCUACGCUUAGGAUGUUGACUGAUAUGUAGUCGUA
This 774-nucleotide ribosomal RNA is filed under the name uncultured Neocallimastigales. Its description in RNAcentral is "partial large subunit ribosomal RNA". It matches the Rfam family "Eukaryotic large subunit ribosomal RNA", at positions 22 to 644 of the family's 3401-position model. Lineage: Eukaryota; Fungi; Neocallimastigomycota; Neocallimastigomycetes; Neocallimastigales. The record is from RNAcentral.